Molecule: ribosomal RNA, 393 nt
Filed under: uncultured bacterium
Lineage: Bacteria
Description: bacterial SSU rRNA
Rfam family: Bacterial small subunit ribosomal RNA
Source: RNAcentral
AACGAACGCUGGCGGCGGGGUUUAGGCAUGCAAGUCGCGCGAGAAAGGGGCAACCCGAGUACAGCGGCGCAAGGGUGAGUAAUGGUUAGUCAACGUACCCAGAUGACGCGGAUAAUUCCUCGAAAGGGGUUGUAAUACGCGAUGAGACCACGGGGCUUCCGGGCUCUGAGGUCAAAGGUCGGGGAUCCUUCGGGACCCGGCGCAUGUGGAGCGGACUAACUCCGAUUAGCUAGAUGGCGGGUAACGGCCCGCCAUGGCGAUGAUCGGUAGCCGGCCUGAGAGGGUGUCCGGCCACACUGGGACUGAGACACUGCCCAGACUCCUACGGGAGGCUGCAGUCGCGAAUCAUUCACAAUGGGCGCAAGCCUGAUGAUGCCACGCCGCGUGCGGGAU